GCUAAUUGUUGCUUCCUGUAAUUCAUGCAAUAAGAAUAGUUAUGUUGCACUUUGCGCUUAAUAACGUGAGCUUGGAAGGUGUCGCCAGGAUGGUGUGCAUACCUUGCAUCGUGGUGCCAGUUCUUCUCUUUAUCUGGCACCGUUUCCUGCAACCAGUUUUCCUCACAUUUUGGAAUCCUUGGAGAAAAGUGACAGCUGGGACAGAAAAAAAGGGUGAAGAGAAAGAAGCCCCAAAUGGGUGUACAGCAUCAAAUGGAGCAGCAGUUGCCAAUGGUGAUCUUAUGUGUCCAUUUUCUGGAAAAGAGACAGGGUCAUCUGAAGCAGUAAUUGAAGAUAAGAAAAAUGAUUGAAUGAUGGGAAUGCCUGCAUUAGAAACAUUUAUAUACAGUAAUGUACAGAUCAGCCAUCACUAAUCUGGCAAUCAGUUAUCCGGUUCCAUCAAUAAUCCAGCACUAAUUUCGGUUAGCAUAAUUUCAAAUUUCAUCAUUAUACUGACUUAGAAAUUGUGCAGAUGGUUGUAAAUCCACAGUAGCAAGCCAGUGGAGGAUGAAAAUGAAGAUGUAGUAGAAAGUCUCUCUCUGUUGAUAGGUUAAUUAAGUGUAUUCUAACCUAGCCACUCUGUAAUCCGGCAAACUCAUUAAUCUGGCACACUACAGGUCCCAAUGACGCUGGAUUAGAGAUGGCCGACCUGUAUAUGUAUUCAACUGGAGGAACUUGGCUAUUAUAUGUGCUUUUAAGCAUUACACAUUUGUUGACACAGUAGAGCUGUAUCAACAAAUAAACCAUGUACAGUGCAGGUACAGCAUUUCUUUAAUAUUUUGUGUAUUGUAUCAUGAUGCUGCUAUGUACUGUACUAUAUAUUUUUGAUCAGUGAUCUUGUACAUUGCUCAUUCUCAAGCAUUCUGGAUUACUGAUGCUCUAUUGUAGUUGAUAAUUAUAUAUUUGUACCUUGAGAAUGUGUAUUCCUACAGAAAGUUAUUGUUUCACAGGCAUUUGUAAUAUAUUUUAUUUUGCAAAUGAAAACGUCUGCCUAUUAUUGUAUAGAUAAAAUCAAAAGUAUGUAGAUGAGUAGUUAAUUUUUCUGCCUUUUUUUUUUUUAUCUUUAUCACUAAGUGUGAAUUUCCAUGAAUGGUCUUUCUGUGACAGCUAUUUGUUUGCUCAUCAUCACCUAUAUAAUGUAAAGGAAACUAGAAGAUGACUUUUAAAUCUGUACCUUCAAAGCUGAUUAUUUAAUUAUUUUUCAUUUGUCUAAUGUUUUCAUGUGUUGCUGAAUAGCAAUAGCAAUUGAAAAUAUGGAAGGACAGCAGUACUUUGUACAGCUUAUUGCCUAGCAGUUGGCACUCAUACUUUAGCUCUUUCUCAGAGAAUAAAAAUUAUUUUGUCUUUUGAUGCAGAAUACAUACGAGUGAAGAUAAAACAGAAAGGCACAAUAACGUGACUAGAAAAAUAUACAAAUAACCCGCGUAUAGGAGAGAGGAGCUUACGACAAUGUUUUGGUCAUCAUAAGCUCCUCUCUCCUCAUAGUAUGACUUUGUAAAUGGUCCGAGUCAAACUGAAACGUUGUCGUAAGCUUCUCUCUCUUAUGUGUGGGUUAUUUGUCUGCAUAUGAGUGUGUUCAUACAUUAUAAGCCUAUCACUAUCUUUAAGUGUUUGAAUCACAGCUCAUAAAGGAAUCCAUAAAGGGCUUACCCACUGUUAAUAUUUUUGCACUUACAUUUAUCAGGACUCUUAACCCUUAACCCUUAAAUGGUUCAAACAUAUAUAUACGUGUUUUCAACAUCUGAAAGUAUGUAAAAAAAUGUAGAUCUUUUUUUUUGUUUUACAUGUGAAAACGUGUAAAAAAAACUUUUAUCUACAUUUUUUUUUGUUAUAUUUGAAAAUAUGUAAAAAAAAAAGUAGAUCUACUUUUGUAGCACUACGAAUUUGAACGUCGAUCUGUUUGGACCGCUUAAGGGUUAAACUGUCCAAACGUAGAUCUACGUUCACGUGCGUAGCGCUCCGGCCUUGAUUUUCCCCAUUUGAAAGUAUUUAAAAAAGAAAAGUAGAUCUACGUUUGGAGCCCCCCGCAUGUGGACAUAGAUCUAUGUUUGGACAGUUUAAGGGUUAAUGGAAUAAAAAGGUACAAUGAUAUUGAUUUACACAGGGUGCUAAUUGCUGUUUGUAUUUUGUUCUUGAUGGUAUAAGGUACAUACUGUACUAAUGUGCUGUUUAACCCUUUGACUGUUUCAGGCCCCUUUCUGAAACUGUCAUUCUGUCGCUAAAGUUUUGAAAAAAAAAAAAAUUAUUUUUCUUAUGAAAUGAUAAAGAAUCUUUUCCUGAUGGUAAUGACACCAAAAGUUCGAAAUUUGGUCGAAAACUCAUGGAAUUACGCUCCCGCGAAGUUAGCGGUCUCGGCGACAUAUGCGUAUCAGCGAUUUCGCCGACUUUAAGCCCUAUUUUCAGCGAAUUCCGUUGUUCCAGUUGACCAAACUCAUAGCUAUUUCUUUAGAACUCCAUUUUAUCUAUCAGCUGAGUACAAGAAACCUCCCAUUUACUAAUUUGGACUACCCAAUAUUGUGGUCAGAAAUUGGCAAUUUGGCCAAUUUCACGCAAACUAAAAAAGAUGCCAAUUUCAAAAUAGGGUCCAGAAUAAACAAGGUAGACAUUCUUGGCACUAAAAUAACAUAUCCUCUGUUCAUUAGUCACAUCUCUAGGCCCCUCUUAUAUUAUUAUUGCUUUCUAUUUUGAUUUUUUAUUCAUACAAAAAAAUACAAAAUUUACUGUUAUGCAGAUUACUGCAUUGUUGUAAAAAUGGUAAAAAUAAUAUCAGUGCACUAGUGAAAGAAUAUUAGACUCCCCAGUUGACGUGUAUUGGACGUGUGGUGUGAUUUGUUUACUCCUAAACAUUGGUAAAAAUCGAACAUUUCCGCUACUUUGAGCUCAGUUUCAAGGUCGUUUUCAUCGUCAAAGUAAUGAAAAUCAUCUCUAUUUCUGUAAUAUGUUUUCCAUUUUAUCACCUAAGAUCAUGAAAACGCAAAUACAUCGAUAAAUACUGUACGAAAGUACACCUCAAAGUCGGCGUUUUAAUCCAAAAAAACGAUCAGUUUUUUUUUUUCUCAUUACGCACUGUGUGCUGCAGGAUUUUUUUUAUGUGGUGCACACUGACCACACAGACCCAUUCUCUCACAUGUGGGCCUACCAGCUUUUUUCCGCUUGAUUUGAAGCCGCUAGAAUUAUUGAGUAUAUACGUAUACGUCAGAAACACUGGCUCGUAAGACGUAUAUAUGCGACCAAAACAGUCAAAGGGUUAAUCUUGAAUUUUAAUUUUAUGAUUUCACCACUUGCGAAACAACUUGGUAGCUAGUAGAACAUUGCAGAAAAUUUCAUGUUUCCUUUGUUGACCUGUCACUGGUAAAACUCUUGAAAUUAGAAAAAAACAUAAUUGUAUACAGUAUAAGUUAAUGUUAUAUUCCUUCAUAUAUUUAUAUGUAUACAGUACAUGUAUAUAAAAGUAUGAAAUUUAAGAAGUACUCCAUUGAGUUUAAAUAUUUACUAUAUUUAUCUUCAAAAUUAAGCAUGUUCAACAUGUUUAAUUUUAUUUUAUUAUUUGUUUCAAAUAUUAUUUCUGUGUCUUUAUUGUUUUUCAUGCUUCUUGAUUGUAUUCAUGCCCACUACUUCAUAAAAUAUUAAACUGAAUUUGUGUUGUAAGAAUAUAUUUAUCAAAUUAAAAUUUUAUUAUUCA
Molecule: long non-coding RNA, 3721 nt
Organism: Cherax quadricarinatus
Lineage: Eukaryota; Metazoa; Arthropoda; Malacostraca; Decapoda; Parastacidae
Source: RefSeq, a predicted model, not a curated record